GNCCCUGGNUCAGGAUGAACGCUAGCGACAGGCCUAACACAUGCAAGUCGAGGGGCAGCACAAGGUAGCAAUACUGAGGUGGCGACCGGCGCACGGGUGAGUAACGCGUAUGCAACCUGCCUGUAACAGGGGAAUAGCCUCUUGAAAGAGAGAUUAAUGCCGCAUAAUACGAGAUUCGGGCAUCCGGAUUUAGUUAAACAUUUAUGGGUUACAGAUGGGCAUGCGUUUCAUUAGGUAGUUGGUGAGGUAACGGCUCACCAAGCCGACGAUGAAUAGGGGUUCUGAGAGGAAGGUCCCCCACACUGGUACUGAGACACGGACCAGACUCCUACGGGAGGCAGCAGUGAGGAAUAUUGGUCAAUGGACGCAAGUCUGAACCAGCCAAGUCGCGUGAAGGAUGAAGGUAUUAUGUAUUGUAAACUUCUUUUGUCAGGGAAUAAUGGGUGUCACGUGUGACGCAGAGNANUGUACCUGACNANNAAGCAUCGGCUAACUCCGUGCCAGCAGCCGCGGUAAUACGGAGGAUGCGAGCGUUAUCCGGAUUUAUUGGGUUUAAAGGGUGCGUAGGCGGUUUGUUAAGUCAGUGGUGAAAGUUUGCGGCUCAACCGUAAAAUUGCCAUUGAAACUGGCGAACUUGAGUACAGUAGAG
RNAcentral lists this ribosomal RNA (649 nucleotides) under uncultured prokaryote. RNAcentral's name for it is "bacterial SSU rRNA". It matches the Rfam family "Bacterial small subunit ribosomal RNA", at positions 15 to 656 of the family's 1533-position model. The record is from RNAcentral.